This 68-nucleotide transfer RNA is filed under the name Metaperipatus inae. RNAcentral's name for it is "tRNA-Gly". The record is from RNAcentral. Lineage: Eukaryota; Metazoa; Onychophora; Udeonychophora; Euonychophora; Peripatopsidae.
AUAAUGUUAGUAUUAAGUACGUUUAAUUUCCAAUUAAAAAUUAUAUAAAUUUUAAAAUUUAUUAAGUA